This 484-nucleotide ribosomal RNA is filed under the name uncultured bacterium. RNAcentral describes it as "partial 16S ribosomal RNA". It matches the Rfam family "Bacterial small subunit ribosomal RNA", at positions 30 to 507 of the family's 1533-position model. The record is from RNAcentral.
AUUGAACGCUGGCGGCAGGCCUAACACAUGCAAGUCGAGCGGAUGAAGGGAGCUUGCUCCUGGAUUCAGCGGCGGACGGGUGAGUAAUGCCUAGGAAUCUGCCUGGUAGUUGGGGAUAACGUCCGGAAACGGGCGCUAAUACCGCAUACGUCCUGAGGGAGAAAGUGGGGGAUCUUCGGACCUCACGCUAUCAGAUGAGCCUAGGUCGGAUUAGCUAGUUGGUGGGGUAAAGGCCUACCAAGGCGACGAUCCGUAACUGGUCUGAGAGGAUGAUCAGUCACACUGGAACUGAGACACGGUCCAGACUCCUACGGGAGGCAGCAGUGGGGAAUAUUGGACAAUGGGCGAAAGCCUGAUCCAGCCAUGCCGCGUGUGUGAAGAAGGUCUUCGGAUUGUAAAGCACUUUAAGUUGGGAGGAAGGGCAGUAAGUUAAUACCUUGCUGUUUUGACGGUACCAACAGAAUAAGCACCGGCUAACUUCGUG